Molecule: ribosomal RNA, 253 nt
Filed under: uncultured bacterium
Lineage: Bacteria
Description: partial 16S ribosomal RNA
Rfam family: Bacterial small subunit ribosomal RNA
Source: RNAcentral
GACGAACCGUGCGAACGUUGUUCGGAUUCACUGGGCUUAAAGGGCGCGUAGGCGGGUGUCCAAGUCUGGGGUGAAAUCCUCCAGCUCAACUGGAGAAUGGCCUCGGAUACUGAUGGUCUCGAGGAGGAUAGGGGCACACGGAACUGUGGGUGGAGCGGUGAAAUGCGUUGAUAUCCACAGGAACUCCGGUGGCGAAAGCGGUGUGCUGGAUCCUUUCUGACGCUGAUGCGCGAAAGCCAGGGGAGCAAACGGG